RNAcentral lists this ribosomal RNA (497 nucleotides) under uncultured bacterium. Its description in RNAcentral is "partial 16S ribosomal RNA". It matches the Rfam family "Bacterial small subunit ribosomal RNA", at positions 28 to 507 of the family's 1533-position model. The record is from RNAcentral.
GAUGAACGCUGGCGGCGUGCCUAAUACAUGCAAGUCGAGCGAACAGACGAGGAGCUUGCUCCUCUGACGUUAGCGGCGGACGGGUGAGUAACACGUGGAUAACCUACCUAUAAGACUGGGAUAACUUCGGGAAACCGGAGCUAAUACCGGAUAAUAUAUUGAACCGCAUGGUUCAAUAGUGAAAGACGGUUUUGCUGUCACUUAUAGAUGGAUCCGCGCCGCAUUAGCUAGUUGGUAAGGUAACGGCUUACCAAGGCGACGAUGCGUAACCGACCUGAGAGGGUGAUCGGCCACACUGGAACUGAGACACGGUCCAGCCUCCUACGGGAGGCAGCAGUAGGGAAUCUUCCGCAAUGGGCGAAAGCCUGACGGAGCAACGCCGCGUGAGUGAUGAAGGUCUUCGGAUCGUAAAACUCUGUUAUUAGGGAAGAACAAAUGUGUAAGUAACUAUGCACGUCUUGACGGUACCUAAUCAGAAAGCCACGGCUAACUACGUG